Oncorhynchus tshawytscha (Chinook salmon) is the source of this 1110-nucleotide long non-coding RNA. Lineage: Eukaryota; Metazoa; Chordata; Actinopteri; Salmoniformes; Salmonidae. The record is from Ensembl.
AAUCACCCACCUGGUGUCCCAGGUCUAAAUCAGGCCCUGACUAGAGGGGAAUCACCCACCUGGUGUCCCAGGUCUAAAUCAGUCCCUGGUUAGAGGGGAAUCACCCACCUGGUGUCCCAGGUCUAAAUCAGUCCCUAUUAGAAGGGAACAAUGAAAUAGUGCAGUGAAACUGGCUUCGAGGUCCAGCGUUGAGUUUGAGGGCCCUAUAUAGUGCACUACUUUUGACCAGAAUCCUAUUGGCCAUGGUCAAAAGUAGUGCACUAUAUAUGGAAUGGGGUGCCAUUUGGGGAUCAAAAGUAGUGCACUAUAUAGGGAAUAGGGUGCCAUUUGGGAGGGCCUACUGGGUUGUAGUUAUUUGCUAUAGUGUUUCCCUGUCAGGCCCUAUGGUCAGGAAUAACUCCUACCCCUAGGCAAAGAUUUGAAAAAAGAAUAAAGAUAACAUUUAAAUGGGACUUUUCUUGUCGUCCGUCCUAGAUCCUGUAAAUGUGUAUAUCUCCGAAAAUCUCAAGCCACACCUUUUAGUGCUCAGCUUUGUCAAAAUAAUGCUCUCUGUUCUACAAUUGUUUACAAUGCAAACACGUUUGUAAAGUAUUUUUCACAUGUCAUAACUGACCAGUCUUGGUGUAUACUCUUUGAUCCUCUCAUUUUAUCUUUCGCAAUGUAUUUAUUUCUAAAAACAAAUAUCUUACUUUUUAUUAUUUUUUAUUUUUGUUUAUUUUUUUUAGCUUUUUGAUAACCCAUCUUGUACUGUGACUUGACUUGACCGACGAUAUGAAUGAGUGACACGAAACUGAUACGCUUCAACGGAACAUGACACAAGAAUACAUAAACAACAACAAAAAUGCAUUAACAAAUAUUGGAAAUGUGUACAAGUGAAAGUUGUGGAAACUGUAAGAUAUAUAUAUAUAUAUUAAAACAAAUGUUGCAACCCUUUUAAUGUCUGAUUUUCCAUUGCUUGAACAUGUUUUGAAUGACAAAAAGAUACCAAAAUGUGAAAGCAUUUUGCUUCUGUAUGUGUGAGAAGAAACUAUACUGAACAAAAAUAUAAACGCAACAUGAAAAGUGUUGGUCCCAUGUUUCACGAGCUGAAAUAAAAUAUCCCAGAAAUGU